UACAGAGGUCUCAAGCGUUGUUCGGAUUCAUUGGGCGUAAAGGGUGCGUAGGUGGCGCCGUAAGUCAGGUGUGAAAUUUCGGAGCUUAACUCCGAAACUGCAUUUGAUACUGCGGUGCUUGAGGACUGCAGAGGAGACUGGAAUUCCCGGUGUAGCGGUGAAAUGUGUAGAGAUCGGGAGGAACACCGGUGGCGAAGGCGGGUCUCUGGGCAAUUCCUGACGCUGAGGCGCGAAAGCGUGGGGAGCAAACGGG
This 253-nucleotide ribosomal RNA is filed under the name uncultured bacterium. RNAcentral's name for it is "partial 16S ribosomal RNA". It matches the Rfam family "Bacterial small subunit ribosomal RNA", at positions 524 to 776 of the family's 1533-position model. The record is from RNAcentral.